GAUGAACGCUGGCGGCGUGCCUAAUACAUGCAAGUCGAGCGAACAGACGAGGAGCUUACUCCUCUGACGUUAGCGGCGGACGGGUGAGUAACACGUGGAUAACCUACCUAUAAGACUGGGAUAACUUCGGGAAACCGGAGCUAAUACCGGAUAACAUGUUGAACCGCAUGGUUCAACAGUGAAAGACGGUCUUGCUUUCACUUAUAGAUGGAUCCGCGUCGCAUUAGCUAGUUGGUAAGGUAACGGCUUACCAAGGCAACGAUGCGUAGCCGACCUGAGAGGGGGGUCGGCCACCAUGGAACUGAGAAACGGUCCAGACUCCUACGAGAGGCAGCAGUAGGGAAUCUUACGCAAUGGGCGAAAGCCUGACGGAGCAACGCCGCGUGAGUGAAGAAGGUCUUCGGAUCGUAAAACUCUGUUAUUAGGGAAGAACAAAUGUGUAAGUAACUAUGCACGUCUUGACGGUACCUAAUCAGAAAGCCACGGCUAACUACGUG
RNAcentral lists this ribosomal RNA (497 nucleotides) under uncultured bacterium. RNAcentral's name for it is "partial 16S ribosomal RNA". It matches the Rfam family "Bacterial small subunit ribosomal RNA", at positions 28 to 507 of the family's 1533-position model. The record is from RNAcentral.